This 245-nucleotide ribosomal RNA is filed under the name uncultured bacterium. Its description in RNAcentral is "partial 16S ribosomal RNA". It matches the Rfam family "Bacterial small subunit ribosomal RNA", at positions 15 to 257 of the family's 1533-position model. The record is from RNAcentral.
GAUCCUGGCUCAGGACGAACGCUGGCGGCGUGCCUAACACAUGCAAGUCGAGCGAGGAGAGUUCCUUCGGGAACAAACCUAGCGGCGGACGGGUGAGUAACACGUGGGCAACCUGCCUUAUAGAGGGGAAUAGCCUUCCGAAAGGAAGAUUAAUACCGCAUAACAUUGCACUUUCGCAUGAGAGAGUAAUUAAAGGAGCAAUCCGCUAUAAGAUGGGCCCGCGGCGCAUUAGCUAGUUGGUGAGG